GGACCAUUAGCUCAGUUGGUUAGAGCGCACGCUUGAUAAGCGUGAGGUCGCUGGUUCAAGUCCAGCAUGGUCCA
Molecule: transfer RNA, 74 nt
Filed under: Chlorotetraedron incus
Lineage: Eukaryota; Viridiplantae; Chlorophyta; Chlorophyceae; Sphaeropleales; Neochloridaceae
Description: tRNA-Ile
Rfam family: tRNA
About the family: Transfer RNA (tRNA) molecules are approximately 80 nucleotides in length. Their secondary structure includes four short double-helical elements and three loops (D, anti-codon, and T loops).
Source: RNAcentral